Molecule: ribosomal RNA, 484 nt
Filed under: uncultured bacterium
Lineage: Bacteria
Description: partial 16S ribosomal RNA
Rfam family: Bacterial small subunit ribosomal RNA
Source: RNAcentral
AUUGAACGCUGGCGGCAGGCCUAACACAUGCAAGUCGAGCGGAUGAAGGGAGCUUGCUCCUGGAUUCAGCGGCGGACGGUCGAGUAAUGCCUAGGAAUCUGCCUGGUAGUGGGGGAUAACGUCCGGAAACGGGCGCUAAUACCGCAUACGUCCUGAGGGAGAAAGUGGGGGAUCUUCGGACCUCACGCUAUCAGAUGAGCCUAGGUCGGAUUAGCUAGUUGGUGGGGUAAAGGCCUACCAAGGCGACGAUGCGUAACUGGUCUGAGAGGAUGAUCAGUCACACUGGAACUGAGACACGGCACAGACUCCGACGGGAGGCAGCAGUGGGGAAUAUUGGACAAUGGGCGAAAGCCUGAUCCAGCCAUGCCGCGUGUGUGAAGAAGGUCUUCGGAUUGUAAAGCACUUUAAGUUGGGAGGAAGGGCAGUAAGUUAAUACCUUGCUGUUUUGACGUUACCAACAGAAUAAGCACCGGCUAACUUCGUG